GGUAAACGGGAAUGAGGUUCUCCCACGGAUAUAAUCCGAAACCGCAUUUAAAUCUGAUUUUUAAUGCUGAUGACUUCUGCGAA
Molecule: non-coding RNA, 83 nt
Filed under: human gut metagenome
Description: Fluoride riboswitch
Rfam family: Fluoride riboswitch aptamer (crcB RNA motif)
Source: RNAcentral